This is a non-coding RNA of Pelobates cultripes (western spadefoot toad), 212 nucleotides long. The record is from the annotation of a GenBank genome assembly. Lineage: Eukaryota; Metazoa; Chordata; Amphibia; Anura; Pelobatidae.
GCAAAUGAGAGACGAAUGUCCGACAUUCUGGGUGUCUCUGACAGGCACAAUUUAAUUUUUUUGCGCCCCGUUGAGGUCUCUGUGUGUGAGGCGUGUGCGUGUAGCCGCUGUUGGGAGCUGAUUAUUGUUUUUUGGUUUUUUUUGCCUAUUUUAUCGGUCGCUUGUACGGAGCUCCUCAGAUACACGUCCGUCUAGCUAAGCAGCUGGCCACG